AGAGUUUGAUUAUGGCUCAGGAUGAACGCUGGCGGCGUGCUUAACACAUGCAAGUCGAACGGAGUAAUAUGAAGUUUUCGGACAGAUUAUUACUUAGUGGCGGACGGGUGAGUAACGCGUGGGUAACCUACCUCAUACAGGGGGAUAACAGUUGGAAACGACUGCUAACACCGCAAUAACAAGUUGGAACCGCAUGAUUCUAACUUCAAAUAUUUAUAGGUAUGAGAUGGGCCCGCGUCUGAUUAGCUAGUUGGUGGGGUAAUGGCCUACCAAGGCGACGAUCAGUAGCCGGCUUGAGAGAGUGACCGGCCACAUUGGGACUGAGACACGGCCCAAACUCCUACGGGAGGCAGCAGGUGGGGAAUAUUGGACAAGUGGGGGCAACCCUGAUCCAGCCGACGCCGCGUGAGUGAAGAAGUUAUUUCGGUAUGUAAAGCUCUAUCAGCGAGGGAAGAUAAUGACAGUACCUGACUAAGAACGCCCCGGCUAACUACGUGCCAGCAGCAGC
This 508-nucleotide ribosomal RNA is filed under the name uncultured bacterium. RNAcentral describes it as "bacterial SSU rRNA". It matches the Rfam family "Bacterial small subunit ribosomal RNA", at positions 8 to 518 of the family's 1533-position model. The record is from RNAcentral.